This 346-nucleotide long non-coding RNA is filed under the name Nicotiana benthamiana. RNAcentral's name for it is "long non-coding RNA (NBEN_LNC016695)". The record is from RNAcentral. Lineage: Eukaryota; Viridiplantae; Streptophyta; Magnoliopsida; Solanales; Solanaceae.
ACGAGCAAUCGAUAUUCUAUUUUUUAUUGGUUGCCUCAAGGUAUGACAUAGCAGUUCGAAUGAGUAUAAUUAGUAAAGAUAGAAUAAAAUUAUUUGAAUAGAAAAAUCAGAUUGUCAUGGUGUUAUUUUCAUAUUAAUUUCAUUGCAUAUAGUCAGAAUGUAAAUAAUUUUGUAGAAUAAAGUUGACACAUGAGAAGGUACCACUAAAAGAAAAGAAAUGUUAGCAAAUUUAUAUUUCCAACAUUCUUUGAAGUCCAUGUAUUCUCUUAAUCAAUUAAAUUAGGACCAAAGAAAUAUUUUUCCCUUUAGCCACCAUGUAUUACUUUUCUUUCAUAGGAAGUAUUUG